RNAcentral lists this ribosomal RNA (599 nucleotides) under Leptogium cyanescens. Its description in RNAcentral is "SSU rRNA". It matches the Rfam family "Bacterial small subunit ribosomal RNA", at positions 389 to 1058 of the family's 1533-position model. The record is from RNAcentral. Lineage: Eukaryota; Fungi; Ascomycota; Lecanoromycetes; Peltigerales; Collemataceae.
AUGUAUAGCUAAGCUAAAUGUAUUUUUUUUAAAAACAUAUUGAUUAUUCGUAUAAAAUUCUGGUAGAGUUAUGAUAAUGACAUUAUCUAUCUAUAAGUCUUGACCAACAUGCGUGCCAGCAGUCGCGGUAAGACGCUAAAGACUAGUGUUAUUCAUUUUUAUAGGUUUAAGGGUACCUAGACGGUAAAUUAAGCCUUAAUGGGACUAAUUUAACUAGAGUUAGAUGUAAGGGUGCAUUAACGUACUAUUGAGUGUAGAGAUGAAAUUCUGUCAUACCAAUGAUUGGCACGGGUUUAGGCGAAAACAUCACCUUAUGUAAUAACUGACGUUGAGGGACGAAGGCUUUGUAUCGCUAAAAGGAUUAGAUACCCUCGUAUUAAGCAGAAAAUGAUGAAUGUCAUAGGUUAAAUAUUAUUUAGUCUAUAAAUGAAAGUGUAAGCAUUCCACCUCAAGAGUAAUUUGGCAACAUUGGAAUUGAAAUCAUUAACCGUUUCUGAAACCAGUAGUGAAGUAUGUUGUUUAAUUAAUGUCCCACAAAGAACCUUACCACAAUUUGAAUAUAUUUGAAUAUUUUACAAGUGUUGCACGGCUGUCUACAG